GCGCAACCCUUGUCCUUAGUUACCAGCACGGUUAUGGUGGGCGACUCUAAGGAGACUGCCGGUGACAAACCGGAGGAAGGUGGGGAUGACGUCAAGUCAUCAUGGCCCUUACGGCCUGGGCUACACACGUGCUACAACGGUCGGUACAAAGGGUUGCCAAGCCGCGAGGUGGAGCUAAUCCCAUAAAACCGAUCGUAGUCCGGAUCGCAGUCUGCAACUCGACUGCGUGAAGUCGGAAUCGCUAGUAAUCGUGAAUCAGAAUGUCACGGUGAAUACGUUCCCGGGCCUU
This 289-nucleotide ribosomal RNA is filed under the name uncultured Pseudomonas sp. Its description in RNAcentral is "partial 16S ribosomal RNA". It matches the Rfam family "Bacterial small subunit ribosomal RNA", at positions 1096 to 1382 of the family's 1533-position model. Lineage: Bacteria; Pseudomonadati; Pseudomonadota; Gammaproteobacteria; Pseudomonadales; Pseudomonadaceae. The record is from RNAcentral.